ACAGAUCUGUCACCAUGAAGGUGACCUUCUCUGUUGCCGUCCUUGUUCUAGCCAUCUCAGUGUGGACUUCCUUUGCAGUUGAUUUCUUCCUUCCUAUGGGCUUUCACACGACGGAGGAGCUUCUGAAAGAGACAAAGGUGAGCUCUAUUCCUAGGUUCCAAGAACAGGAACAGAGAGAGAGCCAGCUUCCCUCCCAGGGCCUUCUGGGAGGUGGGGAGCAGGAGUGACUUGCUUGGGAAUAUCACGAUCGUAAGAGAGUCCAAGCAAGCCCGGUUCAUUUGCUUGCCCCUUGGAGCUUCCCGACUCACUACUCCAAUCUACAAGCUACCUGUGAGGACCACCAUUAGAUGCAUGAAGAGGUCAUGGCUCAAAUUCAGGUUGGGCCCAUGCUGGUGUGGACAUUAUUUCCACAGUGAUACCGAGGAUAUUUAUCCGUCACUCUCACACCCAAACCCCAAGAUGCAUUCUGUCAACCUUUCCUCUUAACUGUGUUGUGGUAAGUGUGAGUGUUCUGCUAUUUAAGACAGUACAGUCUGUCAGUCAUUCACCAAUACUUAUAAGAAAUGCCAAUUUUUGCCAGGCAUGAUGUCUUAUGUCAGUUCUAGCACUGGGGAGACACAGGUAGAACGUUCUAUGUGAGUCUAAGGCCAGCCUAAUCUACAUAGUAAAUUCCAGGACAUACAGAGACUCUGUCUCAAAAUCAAACAAAACAAAAAACAAAACAAAAAACAAUAAAAAUCGAGUAACAAAAAACAAAAAGUAGAAAUAUCAAAAAGUGGUAGGGGCUGGGGGUUUAGCUCAGUGGUAGAGCGCUUGCCUAGCAAGCGCAAGGCCCUGGGUUCGGUCCUCAGCUCUGGAAAAAAAAAGUGGUAAAUGAGCUGGGUGGUGGGUACACCUUUAAUCCCACCACAGGGGAGGCAGAGGGGCAGGUGGAUCUCUGAGUUAGAGGCCAGCCUGGUCUACAGAGUGAGUUCCAGGACAGCCAGGGCCACACAGAGAAAAAAAGUAGAAAAGGAAACAACAAAAAGAAAAUUAAAAGAGGGCACUCCCUCAAAUUUUUAGAAAUUCCUUUCCUUUUUUCUUAAAAAUCUAAUUUAUGUGGGUCUAUAUGCGCACACAGCACAUGUAAACAGGUCCCACGGAAGCCAGAGGUCCCCUGGAGCUGGAGUUACAGGCAGUUGUGAGCCAUCUGGCAUGGGAGCUGGGAGCCGAAUGGAAGAGCAACGGGUGCUGAGCCAUCUCUCCAGCUCCAGAGAUGCCCGUUUGGAAAGACAUUUGCCAGCUUUCACUUUCUAUACUGUGACAUUGACACCUUGUGAUUUGUAGACCAGAGGCUUUCUUUCUGAGAAGGAAGAGGUGGGAGGCUAGGAAGUGCACAGAGCAUCUAUGAGAGCUACGUGGGUAACAACGGUAAGGACCAGGAUAGAUGGGCAGGAUCUGAAGCCCGUCUUCUGAGCUCCUGGUCUAGUGUGCCUUACUCUAUCCCCCAUUACCACCAACAGGGGCCAGAGGGCCCGGGGGGGGGGGGGAGACAAAGGAAGCAGUGCUCUGUGUCUCGCUUCAGGCCCUGUGCGUGAAGAAUGUACAGAUGUGCUGGAUACUUACCUACUUCAAGCUCAGUGAGCCGAUAUGUGGCAGUAACCAGGUUACCUACAAUGGCGAGUGCCAUCUCUGCUCCGAAAUUCUAUUUGAAGACAGAACUAUAAUUAAAGUGCAUGAUGGGCCAUGUGAAACCUCCUCCGAUUAGUUUGGACAAAAAUAAAAGUUACUGAGUUCCCGGAGAGCACAUGGAGCAUGAUUGACUCUUCGAAGAUACCCAAUUCGGGAGACAGGGUCUGGCGUUCAGUGGUAGAGUGCACUAGUGUGCAGGAAGCCUUGGGGAGUGUUAAAAGAGAGCAGCUCCUUGAGAGAACACUUUGGUAGUAGAAGAUACUUGGAUCAAAUUCAUUGAUUUGUUUCUUCAAUAAAUGAUUCUCAGCAUAAA
RNAcentral lists this long non-coding RNA (1984 nucleotides) under Rattus norvegicus (Norway rat). RNAcentral's name for it is "long non-coding RNA NONRATT028072". Lineage: Eukaryota; Metazoa; Chordata; Mammalia; Rodentia; Muridae. The record is from RNAcentral.